UACGGAGGGUGCGAGCGUUGUUCGGAAUCACUGGGCGUAAAGGGCGUGUAGGCGGUCCGCUAAGUCUGAUGUGAAAGCCCGGGGCUCACCCCCGGAAGGGCAUUGGAAACUGACGGACUCGAGUCCCGAAGAGGAGGGUGGAAUUCCUGGUGUAGCGGUGAAAUGCGUAGAUAUCAGGAGGAACACCGGUGGCGAAGGCGGCCCUCUGGACGGUGACUGACGCUGAGGCACGAAAGCGUGGGGAGCAAACAGG
This 253-nucleotide ribosomal RNA is filed under the name uncultured bacterium. RNAcentral's name for it is "partial 16S ribosomal RNA". It matches the Rfam family "Bacterial small subunit ribosomal RNA", at positions 524 to 776 of the family's 1533-position model. The record is from RNAcentral.